GUAGGAUGAGUUUCUUGGUUUGAUUGUGGUUGAGUAUUAAUUUAUUUUGGAGUAAUUGAUUAAGCUUUUCUUUUUUAAAUUAGUAUCAAUAUCAAUUAAAAUAAAAGCAAAGCGGAUGUAAAAAUAUUCAACAAAUUAUUAAAACAUCCCGGUAAAAAUGCCACAUCAACUUACUUUUAAGACACAUCACCAAAAUUAACUCAUAUUUCAUGUUUUGGACUAAAGUGACCAACGAAAUUAAACUUUUUUAUCAUGUGUAUGAAAAUUUCAGGUGGAC
This 277-nucleotide long non-coding RNA is filed under the name Trifolium pratense (red clover). Its description in RNAcentral is "long non-coding RNA (TPRA_LNC010098)". The record is from RNAcentral. Lineage: Eukaryota; Viridiplantae; Streptophyta; Magnoliopsida; Fabales; Fabaceae.